AUUGAACGCUGGCGGAAUGCUUUACACAUGCAAGUCGAACGGCAGCACGGACUUCGGUCUGGUGGCGAGUGGCGAACGGGUGAGUAAUAUAUCGGAACGUAUCCAAUAAUGGGGGAUAACUAAUCGAAAGGUUGGCUAAUACCGCAUACGUCCUACGGGAGAAAGCUAGGGACCUUCGGGCCUGGCGUUAAUGGAGCGGCCGAUAUCGGAUUAGCUAGUUGGUGAGGUAAAGGCUCACCAAGGCGACGAUCCGUAGCUGGUCUGAGAGGACGACCAGCCACACUGGAACAGAGACACGGUCCAGACUCCUACGGGGGGCAGCAGUGGGGAAUUUUGGACGAUGGGCGAAAGCCUGAUCCAGCCAUUCCGCGGGAGUGAAGAAGGCCUUCGGGUUGUAAAGCUCUUUCGCAAGAGAAGAAAACUUACCCUCUAACAUAGGGUGAGGUUGACGGUAUCUUGAUAAGAGGCACCGGCUAACUACGUGCCAGCAGCCGCCGUAA
This 500-nucleotide ribosomal RNA is filed under the name uncultured bacterium. Its description in RNAcentral is "partial 16S ribosomal RNA". It matches the Rfam family "Bacterial small subunit ribosomal RNA", at positions 30 to 523 of the family's 1533-position model. The record is from RNAcentral.